CCUCCUUUCAAACCAGGGAUCACAGCCUGGAACAGGCAGAUGUCUCCUUCUUUCUCUGGCCCUUCCAUGGGUCCUGGGCUUCUCCACUGCGUAACCAUUUGUCUCCUGGUAGCAGGUUCUAUGAGUGCUGUGGUCAUACAGACCCCAAGACACCAGGUUACCGGGGUGGGGAAGCCAGUGACCCUGAGUUGUUCUCAGACUCUGAAUUAUGAUAGCAUCUACUGGUACCAACAGAAACCAAGCCAAGCACCAAAGCUGCUGUUGUACUACUUUGAUAAGCUAUUGAAUAAGCAAACAGACACUCCAGAUAACUUCCAAUCCACCCGGCCUAACACUUCUUUCUGUUCCCUUGACGUCCGCUCAGCAGGCCUGGAGGACUCGGCUCUGUACCUGUGUGCGGGAGCUGGCACAGAGCUGCAGGGCUCUCUUGGUGAAGAAGUCACUCAGACACCAAAGCAUCUGAUCAAAGGGAAAGGACAGAGAGUAAAAAUGCUUUGUGUCCCCAAAAAAGGACACAACUACAUUUUCUGGUAUCAACAGAUCCUGGCAAAAGAGUUCAAGUUCUUGAUUUCUUUCCAGUAUAAUAAGGUCUUAGAUGAAUCAGAGAUGCCCAAGGAAAGAUUUUCAGCUGAGUGCCCUGAAAACUCACCCUGCAGCCUGGAGAUCCAGCCUACGGAGCUGCAGGAUUCAGCAGCAUACCUGUGUGCCAGCAGUGAAUCCACACUGUGA
Molecule: non-coding RNA, 729 nt
Organism: Sciurus carolinensis (gray squirrel)
Lineage: Eukaryota; Metazoa; Chordata; Mammalia; Rodentia; Sciuridae
Source: the annotation of a RefSeq genome assembly